GACGAACGCUGGCGGCGUGCUUAACACAUGCAAGUCGAACGGUGAAGCGCCUUCCUUUUUGGUGGGUGUGGAUGAGUGGCGAACGGGUGAGUAACACGUGAGUAACCUGCCCCCUUCUUCUGGAUAACCGCAUGAAAGUGUGGCUAAUACGGGAUAUUCUGGGUCUGUCGCAUGAUGGGUCUGGGAAAGAUAUUGUUUCGGUGGGGGAUGGGCUCGCGGCCUAUCAGCUUGUUGGUGGGGUGAUGGCCUACCAAGGCGGUGACGGGUAGCCGGCCUGAGAGGGUGGACGGUCACACUGGGACUGAGACACGGCCCAGACUCCUACGGGAGGCAGCAGUGGGGAAUAUUGGACAAUGGGCGCAAGGCUGAUGCAGCGACGCCGCGUGAGAGAUGGAGGCCGUCGGGUUGUGAACCUCUUUCGCCAGUGAAGCAGGCCUGCCUCGUUUGUGGGUGGGUUGACGGUAGCUGGAUAAGAAGCGCCGGCUAACUACGUG
This 494-nucleotide ribosomal RNA is filed under the name uncultured bacterium. RNAcentral describes it as "partial 16S ribosomal RNA". It matches the Rfam family "Bacterial small subunit ribosomal RNA", at positions 28 to 507 of the family's 1533-position model. The record is from RNAcentral.